Molecule: non-coding RNA, 152 nt
Organism: Populus trichocarpa (black cottonwood)
Lineage: Eukaryota; Viridiplantae; Streptophyta; Magnoliopsida; Malpighiales; Salicaceae
Source: Rfam
UCUAGAACUCAAGAUAUGAGUUGAAAACCGAACAGUGUUUGAGCUACAGAACAGGUUCUGACUUCUCCGUUGUUGCUAAGAUUUGAACUUGAAAAUGGCAGAAUUGAGGGACUCUUCAUGAAAGUGUUAGGUCUAUGUCUUAGCUUUCCAUC